CCUUGAAAUACCACCCUUUAAUGUUUGAUGUUCUAACGUUGGCCCCUGAUCGGGGUUGCGGACAGUGUCUGGUGGGUAGUUUGACUGGGGCGGUCUCCUCCUAAAGAGUAACGGAGGAGCACGAAGGUUGGCUAAUCCUGGUCGGACAUCAGGAGGUUAGUGCAAUGGCAUAAGCCAGCUUGACUGCGAGCGUGACGGCGCGAGCAGGUGCGAAAGCAGGUCAUAGUGAUCCGGUGGUUCUGAAUGGAAGGGCCAUCGCUCAACGGAUAAAAGGUACUCCGGGGAUAACAGGCUGAUACCGCCCAAGAGUUCAUAUCGACGGCGGUGUUUGGCACCUCGAUGUCGGCUCAUCACAUCCUGGGGCUGAAGUAGGUCCCAAGGGUAUGGCUGUUCGCCAUUUAAAGUGGUACGCGAGCUGGGUUUAGAACGUCGUGAGACAGUUCGGUCCCUAUCUGCCGUGGGCGCUGGAGAACUGAGGGGGGCUGCUCCUAGUACGAGAGGACCGGAGUGGACGCAUCACUGGUGUUCGGGUUGUCAUGCCAAUGGCACUGCCCGGUAGCUAAAUGCGGAAGAGAUAAGUGCUGAAAGCAUCUAAGCACGAAACUUGCCC
RNAcentral lists this ribosomal RNA (610 nucleotides) under Escherichia coli. Its description in RNAcentral is "partial 23S ribosomal RNA". It matches the Rfam family "Bacterial large subunit ribosomal RNA", at positions 2190 to 2799 of the family's 2925-position model. The record is from RNAcentral. Lineage: Bacteria; Pseudomonadati; Pseudomonadota; Gammaproteobacteria; Enterobacterales; Enterobacteriaceae.